Molecule: ribosomal RNA, 501 nt
Filed under: uncultured bacterium
Lineage: Bacteria
Description: partial 16S ribosomal RNA
Rfam family: Bacterial small subunit ribosomal RNA
Source: RNAcentral
AUUGAACGCUGGCGGCAGGCUUAACACAUGCAAGUCGAGCGGGGUGAGGUGCUUCGGUACUGAUCCUAGCGGCGGACGGGUGAGUAAUGCUUAGGAAUCUGCCAUUUAGUGGGGGACAACAUUCCGAAAGGAAUGCUAAUACCGCAUACGUCCUACGGGAGAAAGCAGGGGAUCUUCGGACCUUGCGCUAAAUGAUGAGCCUAAGUCGGAUUAGCUAGUUGGUGGGGUAAAGGCCUACCAAGGCGACGAUCUGUAGCGGGUAUGAGAGGAUGAUCCGCCACACUGGGACUGAGACACGGCCCAGACUCCUACGGGAGGCAGCAUGGGGGAAUAUUGGACAAUGGGCGGAAGCCUGAUCCAGCCAUGCCGCGUGUGUGAAGAAGGCCUUUUGGUUGUAAAGCACUUUAAGCGAGGAGGAGGCUACCUGGAUUAAUACUCUGGGAUAGUGGACGUUACUCGCAGAAUAAGCACCGGCUAACUCUGUGCCAGCCGCCGCCGUAA